AGGGAAACCUUAGCUAAUACCGCAUAACACCUACGGGUCAAAGGAGCAAUUCGCUUCAGGAGGGGGUCGCGGCCGAUUAGUUAGUUGGCGGGGUAAUGGCCCACCAAGACAGUGAUCGGUAUCCGGCCUGAGAGGGCGCACGGACACACUGGAACUGAAACACGGUCCAGACUCCUACGGGAGGCAGCAGUGGGGAAUUUUGCGCAAUGGGGGAAACCCUGACGCAGCAACGCCGCGUGGAGGAUGAAGUACUUCGGUACGUAAACUCCUUUCGAUCGGGACGAUAAUGACGGUACCGGAAGAAGAAGCCCCGGCUAACUUCGUGCCAGCAGCCGCGGUAAUACGAGGGGGGCAAGCGUUGUUCGGAAUUAUUGGGCGUAAAGGGUGCGUAGGCGGUUUGGUAAGUCUUGUGUGAAAUCUAUGGGCUCAACUCAUAGACUGCACGAGAAACUGCCGGGCUUGAGUGUGGGAGAGGUGAGUGGAAUUCCUGGUGUAGCGGUGAAAUGCGUAGAUAU
Molecule: ribosomal RNA, 515 nt
Filed under: uncultured bacterium
Lineage: Bacteria
Description: bacterial SSU rRNA
Rfam family: Bacterial small subunit ribosomal RNA
Source: RNAcentral